CAGCGCCACGAGUGGCAAUCUACUUUAUUUGGCCUAAAGCGUCCGUAGCUGGUUUUGUAAAUCUCUUGUGAAAUUGGUCAGCUCAACUGGCCAGCGUGCAGGAGAGACUGCUUAACUAGGGACCGGGAGGAGUCAGAGGUAUGCUGUGGGGAGCGGUAAAAUGCUAUAAUCCUCGGUAGACCACCUGUGGCGAAGGCGUCUGACUAGAACGGGUCCGACAGUGAGGGACGAAAGCCAGGGGAGCAAACCGGAUUAGAUACCCGCGUAGUCC
Molecule: ribosomal RNA, 271 nt
Filed under: uncultured archaeon
Lineage: Archaea
Description: partial 16S ribosomal RNA
Rfam family: Archaeal small subunit ribosomal RNA
Source: RNAcentral